Cricetulus griseus (Chinese hamster) is the source of this 1408-nucleotide non-coding RNA. Lineage: Eukaryota; Metazoa; Chordata; Mammalia; Rodentia; Cricetidae. The record is from RefSeq and is a predicted model, not a curated record.
UUAUGUGUGUCCCCUGCCUCCUCAUCUGGAAGAGAAAGAAGACUUUUGAAGAUAUCGUAUUAUCAUAUUCUAUGCUGAGACCCAGCAGGAGAGGCGAAAGAAGCGGAGGCCCUCGUUCUGUGACGGGUGACAGUCCUGUGCCUUUCACAGCCCCAUUUCAGGCGCAGUCUCAGCCUGCAAACAUUCGUUCCUGAUUCUUACUUGGACUACAGUGGCCUUUUAUGGUAUUGGGACCCGAGAAGGUGGGAGGAGCAACCUUCCAGGACUUGACACGUCUAGAAAAGGAGUGAGUCUGCACACGGUUGCCGCAUCUGACUGACAGGGCCAGAGAUUCAACUCAGAUCCCAUUCUUUGGGCUUAGAAUCUGGAUCCCGCUGUCUCAGUUCCUGGUUUUCCAAGCUGUUGAUCAUCCCUGGUGACUUCUAUUGCUGAUCCCCCAGAAGCUACAGAGCAGAGCCUCUUCGUCUUGAUUGGACCUUGACUGAUGAGCAUCAUUAGACUGUCUGACAUAGUUGGUGGUAAGGAAACAAAUAUCCUAAGGUGGACACAGUGGUGCAUACUGAGAAUCCUAGCAACUAGAGGCUGAGGCAGGAGGAUUGUGACCUUUAGACCAUCCUGAGCUACAUAGAAAGACUUUGACUCCAUGAGCCAAACAAACAAAUGAAUGGAUUAAUGAAUAAUAUUUGAAUUAAAUUUUUUUUUUGUAUUUCUGCCAAAUGUGACAGGACAGGCUUGCUCAGGACUGAAGAUGCAAAUAAGCCCUUCCCUUCUGAUGCUUCCAAAUCACAGGAGGGAGCCACACAGGACACUAAGCAUCCUCAGCCCUAGGAAGCUGCAGAGCCUCAGACUCCCUGACCCCUGUUGGAGUGGAGUGGCCCUCCUGGGAGAAUCAGAAACUGAUUUAAAUAUUCAUCUCAACCAUUGCUCAGCAGGAGCACGGGUGCAUUUAGGGGACAGAUGCCUUGACCUGAAGUUGCCUGCUCUGAAGUCAAGGACCCUUCUCUAGCUGCACCUACCCAUUGUGGGCAACUUCUCUAAUUGUUUUUGUUAAGGACGGUAACCAUGAACUCAUCCAUACAUUUAAUAGGAUACAGAGGUAUGACUGAGUUAGGGGAAGAAGAGAGUACAAUAUCCUUCACGUGACACUUGCGCUGGGGUUUUCUUCUGAAUGACAGUCCCGGAAGGUGGCUUUUUAGUUUGUGUUCUGUAGAUGAAGAAUUGGAAGUCUUUGGGGUGACUUCCUUAGAAUCGCUCAGACUUCCUACUUAGGUGUGUUGAAUCUUAAACCCAAAGCCUGUGCAUAGUAACAGGGAAGAUUAGCUGUAGGGAGAAUUGGAGGUUCUUUCUUUCUCUCUCUCUCUCUUUCUCUCUCUCUUUCUUUCUUUCUUUCUUUCUUUCUUUCUUUCUU